RNAcentral lists this ribosomal RNA (253 nucleotides) under uncultured bacterium. RNAcentral's name for it is "partial 16S ribosomal RNA". It matches the Rfam family "Bacterial small subunit ribosomal RNA", at positions 524 to 776 of the family's 1533-position model. The record is from RNAcentral.
UACGAAGGGGGCUAGCGUUGUUCGGAAUUACUGGGCGUAAAGCGCACGUAGGCGGACUCUUAAGUCAGGGGUGAAAUCCCGGGGCUCAACCUCGGAACUGCCUUUGAUACUGAGGAUCUUGAGUUCGGGAGAGGUGAGUGGAACUGCGAGUGUAGAGGUGAAAUUCGUAGAUAUUCGCAAGAACACCAGUGGCGAAGGCGGCUCACUGGCCCGAUACUGACGCUGAGGCACGAAAGCGUGGGGAGCAAACAGG